Long non-coding RNA from Lathyrus oleraceus (garden pea), 1203 nucleotides. RefSeq lists it as uncharacterized. The record is from RefSeq and is a predicted model, not a curated record. NCBI's taxonomy places the organism in Eukaryota, Viridiplantae, Streptophyta, Magnoliopsida, Fabales, Fabaceae. The transcript is spliced from 2 exons.
AUAAUACCCACACGUCUCUUUCAUUUGCCAGCUAUCACCUAACGUCUCUCUCUGCUCUCACACGUUACCCUCUCUGCUUUUACACGUGAUCCUCCUCUCUUCUCUCUCCAUUCUCCGAUACUUUCUCUGUACAUGAAAAAGAAGCGAAAAAGAAAACAAAAGAAGGCACAUACAAGUGACCUCUCUCCAAAAACACCCUCUCUAAAAAAUGAAAAAGAAAAAGUCUCUUACUGUUCAUCUCCUUCACCCUUGGUUGAAUUGCCGGAAACUGCGCCUCCGCCGGCAAUCACACAAACACCGUCAGCCACCAUCCACGCACCUCCACCGGUGAAACUCUCACAAACCUCACACCGCACACAACAACCACUUCCGGCCACGAACCAACAACCCCCGCCGUCUUCCGCUGUGAACUCCGCCGACGAACACCGUUCUUCCUCCUUCACCCUCACGAAACCGGUUCCGGCAAGCACAUCCCUCGUGCUGUUUUUGUAGAUCUAGAAUCUACCGUCAUCGAUGAAGUCAGGUCCGGUACCUACCGACAAUUCUUCAAGCAACAACACUACAACAAUGUUUCGCAGUUACUUCUUUUGGUUGUUGCGGCGAUUCAGAUGCAAGCAUAUUCAGCUCGAACAACAAACUUGAAGUGCGAGGUUAUUGUUUCAUUUCGAGUUCCAAGGCGUAUUCCGCUAACCGACUGGUUUGAUGAACAUGGUGAAGCCACGCCGCUGAUGCGACUAUUCACACCAACCACAUAUUUCCGGAAUACUAAGAACAACAUACAUGCAUACACAUAUUUCUAGCUCAGAUUUUAGUAGCAGAAUUGGUUUACUUCGAAAGGUAAAGAUGCACACUUUAUGAAUGAAAUACCAAGCUAGUGCUCACUAACAAUUUUUGCCAAUGGAUUUACUGUUGCAUCUUUUAUUCUGUUGAUAUGGUUAUUAAUGCGCAUAAGUUUUCAGAAUUGGUAUCUUCUACUCAAUUUAAUCUCAUGUUUUCUUGUUGCUAUGCAAACUUAUGCCUAUACAAACCUCAGUUUUAGGCAAUCGUUCUCAGUUUGUGUUUAAAUAUUCAGGCUGCUGUAAUAAUGUAAAUAUAGCAAAUCAGAAUACGACAAUUGUAGUAACGAUUGUGUUUCGUUACUAAUAUCGGCAUAAUGGGCUGAUGUAUUGUGUUUAAAUAAUAGAGCCAAUUGUGUUGUGUCUA